UACGGAGGGUCCAAGCGUUAUCCGGAUUUAUUGGGUUUAAAGGGUCCGUAGGCGGGAAAAUAAGUCAGUGGUGAAAGCCUACAGCUUAACUGUAGAACUGCCAUUGAAACUGUUUUUCUUGAAUAUAGAUGAAGUGGGCGGAAUGUGUCAUGUAGCGGUGAAAUGCAUAGAUAUGACACAGAACACCGAUUGCGAAGGCAGCUAACUAAACUAUUAUUGACGCUGAGGGACGUAAGUGUGGGGAGCGAACAGG
RNAcentral lists this ribosomal RNA (253 nucleotides) under uncultured bacterium. RNAcentral describes it as "partial 16S ribosomal RNA". It matches the Rfam family "Bacterial small subunit ribosomal RNA", at positions 524 to 776 of the family's 1533-position model. The record is from RNAcentral.